This 631-nucleotide ribosomal RNA is filed under the name uncultured bacterium. RNAcentral's name for it is "bacterial SSU rRNA". It matches the Rfam family "Bacterial small subunit ribosomal RNA", at positions 103 to 707 of the family's 1533-position model. The record is from RNAcentral.
CGGAUGAGUAAUGUGUGGGUAAUUUGCCUUUUAGAGGGGGAUAACCCGGCGAAAGCUGAGCUAAUACCCCAUAACAUCACAAUGUCUUCGGACGUUAUGAUCAAAUGAUGGCCUCUAUUUAUAAGCUAUCGCUAAAAGAUGAGCCCACAUCCUAUCACGCUUGUUGGUGGGGUAAUGGCCCACCAAGGCGACGACGGGUAGCCGGCCUGAGAGGGUGUCCGGCCACACUGGAACUGAGACACGGUCCAGACUCCUACGGGAGGCAGCAGUGGGGAAUUUUUCGCAAUGGGCGAAAGCCUGACGAAGCAACGCCGCGUGGAGGAUGAGGGCCCUCGUGGUCGUAAACUCCUGUCUAGCGGGACGAAAGUAUUGGAGGUGAAUAAUCUCCGAUAUUGACUGUACCGCUGGAGGAAGCUCCGGCCAACUCCGUGCCAGCAGCCGCGGUAAUACGGAGGGAGCAAGCGUUACUCGGAAUUAUUGGGCGUAAAGGGCGCGUAGGCGAUCUGACAAGUCUGGUGUGAAAGCCCACAUGUUAACUGUGGAAGUGCAUUAGAAACUGUUGGAUUUGAGUUCAGGAGAGGAAGGCAGAAUUCCCGGUGUAGCGGUGAAAUGCGUAGAGAUCGGGAGGAAU